UCCAGACCCCAGAGACCACAUUGCUGGUGUGGCCUGUAUCCCCGUGGUCGCCAGGGAGGAUAAACGCCAUUGCUUAGAUGACGGACGGGAGCGUCCAGAAGAGGCGAGUGCUCAGUGAAGAAGCUGGGGCUGAAGGGCAGCCACACGAAUGACAGGUGAGGCAAAUUCGAACAUGCUGCUGGGAAGGAUUCAGUAAAGAGGGAGAGGCUGAAGAUGCGGGACAAAGAAGAUAACUGGUGGAGAGAGACACAGCGAGAGAGGGA
Non-coding RNA from Callorhinus ursinus (northern fur seal), 263 nucleotides. NCBI's taxonomy places the organism in Eukaryota, Metazoa, Chordata, Mammalia, Carnivora, Otariidae. The record is from RefSeq and is a predicted model, not a curated record.